GACGAACGCUGGCGGCGUGCUUAACACAUGCAAGUCGAACGGAAAGGCCUUUUCGGAGGUACUCGAGUGGCGAACGGGUGAGUAACACGUGGGUGAUCUGCCCUGCACUCUGGGAUAAGCCUGGGAAACUGGGCCUAAUACCGGAUAGGACCGCACUUUAGUGUGUGUGGUGGAAAGUUUUUUCGGUGUAGGAUGAGCCCGCGGCCUAUCAGCUUGUUGGUGGGGUAAUGGCCUACCAAGGCGGCGACGGGUAGCCGGACUGAGAGGUUGGUCGGCCACAUUGGGACUGAGAUACGGCCCAGACUCCUACGGGAGGCAGCAGUGGGGAAUAUUGCACAAUGGGCGCAAGCCUGAUGCAGCGACGCCGCGUGGGGGAUGACGGCCUUCGGGUUGUAAACUCCUUUCGCCAGGGACGAAGCGUUUUGUGACGGUACCUGGAGAAGAAGCACCGGCUAACUACGU
This 462-nucleotide ribosomal RNA is filed under the name uncultured bacterium. RNAcentral describes it as "partial 16S ribosomal RNA". It matches the Rfam family "Bacterial small subunit ribosomal RNA", at positions 28 to 506 of the family's 1533-position model. The record is from RNAcentral.